GCAAGCAGGAGCAGGGCCUGACCAGCCCUUCAGCACAGGCUCCAGAGAGCUUGACAUCACAUCCAGGAGCAAGCCUGGGGAUACUGCAGACCUGCCCACCAACAAGUACCUUAUCAAAGCUUCGUGCAGGUGCUCUGAGCUCAGAGUCCAGCAGGCAGGGACCAUAGAGACUGUAGAAGCUUCAUCAUUGAAGGUCUUAAAGGCAAAUUAAACAAAUAUAAUUAAACACUAGCCUAUCCUGGGACAGAACAGUGCAUCACUGAGGUCACUCCCGACAUUCCCUUCCUCUGGCGCUAUGAUGAGGGCAGAAAGGACACAUGUCACAGGUGUAUAUAGUCACAGAGCUUCUUGGAACUGGAUGUUUCUUAAAGUGCUGGUGUGAAAGCAAACACUGCCAAAAUGAAGAGAACAGCAGACACCAUCUCCAUUCCAUGUGUCUACAGAACAGAAAGGGAACUGAUGAUAAGAAAGAAAUCAACUUUAGCUGUUGUUGUUUAAUAUGACCACCAGGAAUGUACCCCCAGACAUGAUAACAAGAGCAUCUGUCAUUGAACUGUGCGAGCUCUAUUUGCCUCCUGGCACAUUUCAGAUAUAAACAGCGAGGGCCUCAGCUGAUCUCUUAGGAGUUUGCGCAGCUAACAGCAGCAGCAGAGCUUGAAAAUAAUGCAUCCUCCCUAUGCCAUGGCCUCUCUGAAGAAUAUCCCUCUCCUCCCCAAAAAAUUAAAAAAGGAAGGGUGGAUCAGCAAAGGAGGAGAAUACAGAUGCAUACGCAGACACCUGGAUAGGUUUAAAGGCAGGGCCAUCAGUUAAAGCUCCAGAUCAUUUCCUGUGCUGUCCCACCCACAGGUUCGAUGGAACAUGGCAAAGUAACUACUGAAGCUAUGUGUGGUGGAAAUGGUCAUGCAACAAAGGAAGUGGCAGCAACAGCAAAAAAUAUACUUUCCAAGCAAAACUCUCUGAGCCAUGCUUGUAUGUUGGAAACGCAAUCUGGGGACAGGAGGUUAGAUAAAAACACACUUGUUUGAGAACAGCAGCCCUCUGUUCCUCAGGGCUUGCUCCUGGCCUUGCUCAAGCCACAGUCUGCUCAGGCAGCUGCUGGCAGCUGCAGCCACCAGCUGUAUCCAAGGGGAUCCCAAGGACAGACCCAGUUCAGCAGCCGUGAAAAUAGUACCCUGAAGACAUGAAGCAAUUGUUGACCUGCAUGCCAUCAAGCCCCAGUACUGAAUAAAGAGAAGAAUAAUCUCUUUUUAUUCACUUUAUCUAUCCUGUUCUCCUUAUUAGAUCUCUUUCCUUGUGAUUAAUUCUCAACCUGGUAUUUUUAAUAACUGUAUAUUUCAUUUGCAUUUGAUACUUAAAGAGGGAGGGAGGAUAAAAGGAUGAAACUCCUAGAAUUAAUGCACACCAACCCCUAACCUUAAACAUUGGUAUUACCCUUCUGUAAGACUAUCCUCUGUCAAGUAACAAUACGCAGGAAAUAAAUACUAGUCUCUUAACAGCUGUCCUGGAGACUACAUCCCUAUUAUGACUCUUCUUGAACAGAGUAAACUAAAUAAAGUUGAAUGAAGUUAUCAGACAUGAUCUCAUAUUCAAAGAGCCAAUGUCACUAAAAUAACAUUCUAAAUUCCACAGUCUAAUGUAAUUAUUAAAGUGGAAUGUGGUCUGUUUAGUACUGUAUUGAUUUAAGCAGCUCUCUCUCGAUUUGUAGCAGCCGUGCCACUGCUGGCAUUGAGUUAGCCCUGCUGGUAUACUUACAUCUUGGACAAUAUUUGCAAUAUAACAUCUUGAACAAUAUUCACAAUAUAGCAGUGAAUAAUGUCAAUGGCCAAAAUUUAUUAUAUAGAGUUCAAGAUUUUCAGCAAAGUAUUUAAACCUAAUGUUAAAAGUGGAAGGCUUGUGCUUACGGGAAUAAAAGAUGAGAAAUAACAAGAAGGUAUAAAGCAUCAGACACUUCCUUUGCCUGUCUGGAAAAAGCAGUAAAAGUGACUUCUCAUCUUC
Molecule: long non-coding RNA, 1995 nt
Organism: Pezoporus occidentalis (night parrot)
Lineage: Eukaryota; Metazoa; Chordata; Aves; Psittaciformes; Psittacidae
Exons: 3
Source: RefSeq, a predicted model, not a curated record